AGCAGCCGCCGCGGUAAUACGAAGGGUGCAAGCGUUACUCGGAAUUACUGGGCGUAAAGCGUGUGUAGGUGGUUGUUUAAGUCUGUCGUGAAAGCCCUGGGCUCAACCUGGGAAUUGCGAUGGAUACUGGGCGACUAGAGUGCGGUAGAGGAUAGUGGAAUUUCCGGUGUAGCAGUGAAAUGCGUAGAGAUCGGAAGGAACAUCUGUGGCGAAGGCGACUAUCUGGGCCAACACUGACACUGAGACACGAAAGCGUGGGGAGCAAACAGGAUUAGAUACCCCGGUAGUCCCUGUCUCUUAUAC
This 303-nucleotide ribosomal RNA is filed under the name uncultured bacterium. Its description in RNAcentral is "partial 16S ribosomal RNA". It matches the Rfam family "Bacterial small subunit ribosomal RNA", at positions 507 to 807 of the family's 1533-position model. The record is from RNAcentral.